CGCUUUCUCAACGCAUUUACCGGUAUUUUGAUACUGAUGUGUGAAUGAUGUCUUACUGGUAAAAUAGCGGAACGCCACUGCGUGUGUGAACAGCACAUUUUUGUAUUUACUGGUAAAUUCAAACGGUACCUGACCAUGCCGAAAAGCUAUUUGAAACUUGGGCACUGCAUUUUACAGACAGAAUCCUGCAACUUCCCAUCCAGGAACAUCAACAAAUCACCUCCAGAACCCCAUGAUGAUAUUCCAACUCCUGUCUACAAAAGUGGAAAAAAAUCUUAAGUCUACAUGUUGGGACCAACAUGAUUGCAUUCUUGUGAUAGGCUGAGGUGACAAAACCAUUCCCUUUUGUCCUUGGAUUGGAAGAUGGCGAUCUCUGCCAUCAAGCCUUCGUUGUUUUUGACAGACAGUCACUCCAGCAAUACACCCUCCUUGCUGAUGUUGACAUGUUUUAAACUUUUUUUAUGUUUUGGACAUUAAUUUUAUUAAGCAGUGCACAUCAGUGUGGGUGUUUUUGCAGACCGUUGUUUAGAAACUCCCAAGAACGGAAUUCCAUUUUGUAAGAAGUCUGUGCAGUUAUUUCAUUUGUCAUGCUAAGGUGAUUCAUGUUGAUCAUAUGUUGACUGUUUGUGCAACUAUGUGUUGAUCUUAUUUGUUACAUUAACUAUUUCUUAUUACACGGUUCUCUAAAAUGCUAGAUUCUGAUUGGCCAGUCGUGACAUUCUACUACUGCUAAAAACUAAAAACUCAGAUGCUGUAAAUCAUUUUGACAGGUACAGUUUAAUAUUAAACAAAAAUUAAAUGUCAAUUUCUAUUAAUAACAUAUCCGACAUUAAAUUUACAAAUGAUUAAACCAAUGUGUUCGUGAUAUUUGUCCUGAAGAAACUGUUGGGGCUUUUUUGUGAUAACCUGCUGCCAAUACAUUAUCCCUUACUUGUACAACUUUUUACUUGAUCUAAUUGUAAUGUUAACUGGGCAUCUGUCAUUUUAGAUUAUGAGAUAUGAAAUAUACAUUUUUUUAAAUCAGAAAUGUGAUUGUUUGUGUAGGGCUAUGUACUCUUUUAUUGUUCAUGUGCAAUAAAUAUGCUUUUUUAAUUAAAUCUAUGCUUUGUUAUUUAUAGACACCACAAUGAAAGGUAUGAAAGCAAUUUAAACCACCAAAAUUUCAGCUUUAAAAACAUUAACCAAACAUUGGGUUGUUUCAACCCAACAAAAAGUUAUUUCUACCCAACAGAUGGGUUAAAAAAUUAACCCAAUGAGUUGGGUUGAUUGUACAACCCAACUUGUUGGGUUAAAAUAACCCAGCGUUGGGUUGGUCCAUAUUAACCCAGCGUAGGGUUGCAAAACAACCCAAGUUGGGUUAAUUUUAACCCAACGUUUUUAGAGUGUAGUUGCCACAUUGUAUAUAAUAAAUAGAGGUUUAAAAACUAGAUUCGGUUCUGAUUCAUUUGGUUAAUUCAAUUGAGAACAUAAUCCUAUGAGGGCCACAUUUAAUAUUUUUAUGUUUUUACACA
Misgurnus anguillicaudatus (oriental weatherfish) is the source of this 1511-nucleotide long non-coding RNA. RefSeq lists it as uncharacterized. NCBI's taxonomy places the organism in Eukaryota, Metazoa, Chordata, Actinopteri, Cypriniformes, Cobitidae. The record is from RefSeq and is a predicted model, not a curated record.